AGGCUUAGUUAUUAUUGUUAUUGUUGUUGCCAGUUUUUGACAUAUUAGAUGCAAGGGCGGUCUGGUAUAAUGGUAAAAACCUUUGACUUGCAAGAUUUGCAACCAGGAGGCUGCAGGUUUAAGGCCUCAAACUAACCACUUUAUAAAAAAUAUUGGAGAAGAUGGUGUCUGGAUCCUUUCACAAUAUAUGGCUUUGGCUUUUUAUAGGAUCAUUGAAUGACACCAUUUUCUUUUUGUAAUUAAUAGUUGAACGGCUGAAAUCCUAUAUUAUGUUUUCACAAUUCAUAGGAAGGCACAGGUACUUAAGUUUUGCUGGUUUCUGCCAUCUCCCUUCCCUUUCUAGCUCCAUAACAGACUUGUAUUUAGAUGCGAGCAUAUCCCAAGUAGUUAAGCUAAAAAGUAAGUUUGUGAUUCUAUCUUGUGGUUAAUCUUUUGAUCUAGCGCACCUUAUUUAGUUUAUGCUGCUCUUGAGCUUUUCCAAUCCAUUUUGUUGAUUUUUUUCCCUAAAUGAAUCAAUGACAGUAUCAGUACUGGACUUGUUAAUUUCCCAUGGGCUCCUUUUUUUUUCUCUUAGCCAACAUUCCUAAUGGGUAUGAACCUGGUG
This 604-nucleotide unclassified non-coding RNA is filed under the name Hevea brasiliensis (rubber tree). Lineage: Eukaryota; Viridiplantae; Streptophyta; Magnoliopsida; Malpighiales; Euphorbiaceae. The record is from RNAcentral.